Molecule: ribosomal RNA, 446 nt
Filed under: uncultured bacterium
Lineage: Bacteria
Description: partial 16S ribosomal RNA
Rfam family: Bacterial small subunit ribosomal RNA
Source: RNAcentral
GUGAGGAAUAUUGGUCAAUGGACGAGAGUCUGAACCAGCCAAGUCGCGUGAAGGAAGACGGUUCUAUGAAUUGUAAACUUCUUUUGUGCAGGAAUAAAGUGGGUUACGUGUAACCUUUUGUAUGUACUGUACGAAUAAGGAUCGGCUAACUCCGUGCCAGCAGCCGCGGUAAUACGGAGGAUCCGAGCGUUAUCCGGAUUUAUUGGGUUUAAAGGGUGCGUAGGUGGAUUGAUAAGUCAGCGGUGAAAGUUUGCAGCUUAACUGUAAAAUUGCCGUUGAAACUGUCGGUCUUGAGUGCAAAUGAGGUAGGCGGAAUGUGUUGUGUAGCGGUGAAAUGCUUAGAUAUAACACAGAACUCCGAUUGCGAAGGCAGCUUACUGGGAUGCAACUGACACUGAUGCACGAAAGCGUGGGUAUCAAACAGGAUUAGAUACCCUGGUAAGUCC